This is a long non-coding RNA of Aphis gossypii (cotton aphid), 357 nucleotides long. RefSeq lists it as uncharacterized. The transcript is spliced from 3 exons. Lineage: Eukaryota; Metazoa; Arthropoda; Insecta; Hemiptera; Aphididae. The record is from RefSeq and is a predicted model, not a curated record.
UUUUGUUCUGCUCUACCCCGUGUAAUUGGCCAAUUGGGUACUAUUCGUAUUAGUGAAAAUUAUAUUAUUGUAGAACCUAUUUCACGUCAUAUUAGAUUGAAUAUUGAACUUGACAAAAGACAUUAAAGGUCCAACGAUGAUUAAUGACGACAGUUUUUCAAGCACAUAAAAUACUUCAAUCUUUAACACUGAAUCUUAUUUUGGAUAACAAAUUGUGAUGAAGUUCUGGAGAUCAAAAAAAUAUGUUCGGCUAAAUUGUUUAAAGUGAAAAAUGAGGACUUUAAUUUGAAAAACAUAAGUUUGUAUUUACACAAGAAAUUCCAAAUAUAGUUACAGAAAAAUGUCGAGAAUUUAAAA